CACAGGGAGGUAGUGACAGUAAAUAACAAUGCAGGACCCUUUGGGUCUUGCAAUUGGAAUGAGAACAAUUUAAAUCCCUUAUCGAGUAACAAUUGGAGGGCAAGUCUGGUGCCAGCAGCCGCGGUAAUUCCAGCUCCAAUAGCGUAUAUUAAAGUUGUUGCAGUUAAAAAGCUCGUAGUUGAACCUUGGGCAAGGCUUAGGGUCGGUCGCAAGACCGCACUUGAGUGCCGCGCCUCUGUUGGGGGACUAGUCGCACUGCGGCUAGGCAACCCGUGUUACUGUGAAGAAAUUAGAGUGUUUAAAGCAGGCGAUCGCUUGAAUACAUCAGCAUGGAAUAACAAGAUAGGACUGGGGUCUGCUCUUGUUGGUUUGGGGGCCAAAGUAAUGAUUAAUAGGGCCAGUUGGGGGCAUUAGUAUUCAGUAGUCAGAGGUGAAAUUCUUGGAUUUACCGAAGACUAACUAGUGCGAAAGCAUUUGCCAAGGAUGUUUUCAUUAAUCAAGAACGAAAGUUAGGGGAUCGAAGACGAUCAGAUACCGUCGUAGUCUUAACUAUAAACGAUGCCGACUAAGGAUCGGCAGAAGUCGUUUGCGACUCUGUCGGCACUUUGUGAGAAAUCAAAGUUUUUGGGUUCUGGGGGGAGUAUGGUCGCAAGGCUGAAACUUAAAGGAAUUGACGGAAGGGCACCACCAGGAGUGGAGCCUGCGGCUUAAUUUGACUCAACACGGGAAAACUCACCAGGUCCGGACAUAGUAAGGAUUGACAGAUUGAGAGCUCUUUCUUGAUUCUGUGGGUGGUGGUGCAUGGCCGUUCUUAGUUGGUGGAGUGAUUUGUCUGGUUAAUUCCGAUAACGAACGAGACCUUAACCUGCUAACUAGUUGCGGGUACGCGAGUAUCCGAGACUUCUUAGAGGGACUGACUAUGUUUAAUAGUCGGAAGUUUGAGGCAAUAACAGGUCUGUGAUGCCCUUAGAUGUUCUGGGCUGCACGCGCGCUACACUGACAAAGGCAGCGAGUAUAACCUUGGCCGAGAGGCCUGGGAAAUCUUGUGAAACUUUGUCGUGCUGGGGAUAGAUCAUUGCAAUUAUUGGUCUUGAACGAGGAAUUCCUAGUAAGCGCAUGUCAUCAGCAUGCGUUGAUUACGUCCCUGCCCUUUGUACACUCCGCCCGUCGCUACUACCGAUU
Molecule: ribosomal RNA, 1182 nt
Filed under: uncultured Rozellomycota
Lineage: Eukaryota; Fungi; Rozellomycota
Description: SSU rRNA
Rfam family: Eukaryotic small subunit ribosomal RNA
Source: RNAcentral